RNAcentral lists this transfer RNA (74 nucleotides) under Culex quinquefasciatus (southern house mosquito). It matches the Rfam family "tRNA". From Rfam's summary of the family: Transfer RNA (tRNA) molecules are approximately 80 nucleotides in length. The record is from Rfam by way of RNAcentral. Lineage: Eukaryota; Metazoa; Arthropoda; Insecta; Diptera; Culicidae.
GCCCGUGUGGAUCAAUCGGAACGCGCACUGGACUAACAAUCCAGAGAUCGCCGGUUUGAAUCCCGCGGCGGGCG